This 103-nucleotide microRNA precursor is filed under the name Marmota monax (woodchuck). Lineage: Eukaryota; Metazoa; Chordata; Mammalia; Rodentia; Sciuridae. The record is from RNAcentral.
AAUGAAGUUGCUAGAACAUAUGGUGAUUCUAUGUUUAACUAUUGGAGGUACUGCCAAACUGCUUCCCACAGCCGCCACACCAUUUUACAUUCCCAAUAGCAGU